CCUACGGGAGGCAGCAGUAGGGAAUUUUCCACAAUGGGCGAAAGCCUGAUGGAGCAACGCCGCGUGGGUGAAGAAGGUCUUCGGAUCGUAAAACCCUGUUGUUAGAGAAGAAAGUGCGUGAGAGUAACUGUUCACGUUUCGACGGUAUCUAACCAGAAAGCCACGGCUAACUACGUGCCAGCAGCCGCGGUAAUACGUAGGUGGCAAGCGUUAUCCGGAUUUAUUGGGCGUAAAGGGAACGCAGGCGGUCUUUUAAGUCUGAUGUGAAAGCCUUCGGCUUAACCGGAGUAGUGCAUUGGAAACUGGGAGACUUGAGUGCAGAAGAGGAGAGUGGAACUCAAUGUGUAGCGGUGAAAUGCGUAGAUAUAUGGAAGAACACCAGUGGCGAAAGCGGCUCUCUGGGCUGUAACUGACGCUGAGGUUCGAAAGCGUGGGUAGCAAACAGGAUUAGAUACCCCGGUAGUC
RNAcentral lists this ribosomal RNA (465 nucleotides) under uncultured bacterium. RNAcentral's name for it is "partial 16S ribosomal RNA". It matches the Rfam family "Bacterial small subunit ribosomal RNA", at positions 338 to 795 of the family's 1533-position model. The record is from RNAcentral.